ACAUAAGUAACAUGCUUUAAAGACAUAAUUAACGCAGGCUCGAUCAACAUGAGCUGCUUCCCCUAGACCCAAAACGGGAUCAGUUUUGGGUCUUUUUUU
RNAcentral lists this small RNA (99 nucleotides) under Vibrio genomosp. F6 str. FF-238. Lineage: Bacteria; Pseudomonadati; Pseudomonadota; Gammaproteobacteria; Vibrionales; Vibrionaceae. The record is from RNAcentral.